Non-coding RNA from Mycena crocata, 93 nucleotides. NCBI's taxonomy places the organism in Eukaryota, Fungi, Basidiomycota, Agaricomycetes, Agaricales, Mycenaceae. The record is from the annotation of a GenBank genome assembly.
GGCCUGAUAGCACAGCUGGAAGUGCGUCUGCUUUAACUAUCCAUGCUAAAUGUGCAAAUGGCAGAAGACCCUGUUCGAUUCGGGGUCGGGUCA